ACCUAGGAGGAACAUUCGGGUCAGUGAAAAAGGACCCAAAAUUAGAUGGAUAUUUUGAUGGAGAGAAAAAAUUAGGGACAACCACCGAUCCUCUCCCCAAAUGCUGAGGUUGAGAAGAAAAUGCCAAUGAUGCAGGGAAAAAUGUCGAAUGAGAGCCAAAACCCAACGAUGAAGUACCGAAUGUAGAGACAGGGGGACCACCAACAGAUCGAUCAAAGUGAUAGUAGCAUCGUUGAGCCAGGUCCCUGAUCCAUCCGUAAAUCUGACAUUAAGGUCGGCCACGACCAUGAAACGACCCAUGAUUUCUAAGAGCAAAUGAAUUGAUGACACUUGAGCUAGAUGGUGUACUAACAGAAACCCUUAACGUGGAACCAGAUGAGGAAGACUGUUGGACCAGAUUGGCUUGGGGAAGAACCUACGUCACAAAUCAUUGUUGCCGCCUUUCACAUUCGAGCAAAAUUUCGAUAAGCUGAUCUAAUGCCAGGGGUUCCAGUGAAAAAGAUGUUACAGUGACGACGGAGUCAAAAUCCUGCGAAAGACCCAUAAGAACGAUGUUUGUCUGUUCUUCAGCCGAGACAGGAUAACCAGACGCAUCAACUCAUGUUUGAGAAAUCUUGGCACUGGACGUUGCGCCGAAAAGACUGCAUGCUUUACUCCAGACAUCGUGAGCCGUAGUAGUUCCUGUAAAAGAGGACAAAAACUCUCCACUGAUCGUGGAUAAGAGCCAAGAAGUAAGCAAUUUUUCUUGCUGUUGAAACAAAAGAAAAAUAGAAUUAGGAAUCGACUUCCCUUCAGCAUCGUGAACAAACUUAGAUGGGGCAGAGAUCAUCUCGUGUAUAUAAUCGGUAAGCCCAUAGGCUUCGAUAAUAAGCGUUAGCUGGUGUUGCCACUGAACGAAUGUUUUGUCGGUAAGUUUAAUAGUGUCAUGUUUGGGAAAUGAUUGAACCACUCGACAGAACUGACUUUCAUCAAGGGCAGGAGAAGAGGAGGGCUGAGGAGCAGAGGUCGGUGAAGUGACCUGAUUGGUAGACACAGCUGGAGAAACAAGAUUCAUCGAAAACAACGAAAGCAGCCCAGGUAACUAAUUAGCGACUGAUACGAUGAAAGAAUACUUAUGAAAACAUGUGAAAUUAUUAUUGCUUGAUAUGAAUGAACACCAAUCUGGUGUAUUUAUACACAAAUAGAUUAGCUAGAUAUGCAAACUUUUUAACAGGAAUAGUUGACCUCUAAUAUUCAGCAGCUGUUAACGAUCACGUUAACAUUUUAAUGGUCAAAGGCAAAUAUUGUUGGUAAAAGGGCUUCCUUGAUUAA
Long non-coding RNA from Gossypium raimondii (Peruvian cotton), 1311 nucleotides. RefSeq lists it as uncharacterized. The transcript is spliced from 2 exons. NCBI's taxonomy places the organism in Eukaryota, Viridiplantae, Streptophyta, Magnoliopsida, Malvales, Malvaceae. The record is from RefSeq and is a predicted model, not a curated record.